This 1684-nucleotide long non-coding RNA is filed under the name Stegodyphus dumicola. RNAcentral's name for it is "uncharacterized LOC118190453". The record is from RNAcentral. Lineage: Eukaryota; Metazoa; Arthropoda; Arachnida; Araneae; Eresidae.
CUGUUUUCUGUAUUGUUGACUUCAGCUGCAUUAUAAUAGUGUGCUUUGUUUGUGUAAUAUAUUAUAUAUUGUGUAGGAUGUAAACUAAAACUUUAUACUCAUUUGACGUACUUCUAGAUCAGUUGUGGUACGAAGUGAUAGUUGUACAAAUGGUUACUCCUAUUCGCUUUAAAUACAGAAGCAAUUGGCAAACAUUUAUACAGCGUGCAUUAAUAAUCAUACUUAAUAUCGAAACCGGCGCAUUGAAAUUAAUUUGUUGAAUUGUUCAGAUUAUUUUUAAAUCACAUUAAGCUGAAAAGUUGUGUUAAUACCAUAAAGUGUAAUUAUAAAUUCGUCAAAAUAAUAAGUUAUUUUUGGCUUUAGUACAUUUUAAAAAACAUUCUUGUUAUGUGAAAUAAGAUCAUGUUCAACCUGAAGGGAUAACCUGAUACAUCAAAGAAAUUUCAUAAAGCUAUAGUGAUGUUAUAAAUAAAUUUAAAAUAUUAAUUUUCAGAAGACAUUGCAAUGACUGUACGGAUAAGCAGUUCUUACAUGAAUAGCAACGGUUGCAGAAUACUUUGAACUGUAAUGCAGACCACCAGCUCUCAUAUGAAUAAAAUACAUUGAACUAUAAUAAAAAUGCCUUUUGGUUUUUCAAGAACAUAAAGACCUAACUAUUAAUAAAUAGAAGAUAAGAGUGUGGUUUAAAAUUAGGCUGUGUUCACUUUGAGAUUGAUAGUGGUUUUACUACAUUCCACAAUUUUUUCUUCCUUUUUUUUUUUUUUGCAUACUUAAUUCCCCCCCCCUUUUUUUUGCAUACUUCUGUCAAUUUUUUUCAGUCAUUAUUCAGUGGCAUGGCAUUUUCGUAUGAAAUCAAUUUUGAAUCUUGCAUCAUUUUAAACUACCAUUUACAUUGACAGUAUAUUUAUGUGUUUAUUAAAUUGUUAAUAUCUUCGUAAAAUGUGAAGUUUGAAAAAAAUUAUCUGCUAAGGUAAUUAUAUGCAGAAAAAGAGUUUAAAGUUAUUAAUAAAUUAAAUAUCUCAUCAUUAAAUAUCUCAUAAUGAAAAGUUAUGAUAGUGAUUUUCGUAUAUCUUAUGAUUGCACAGUUAUUUGAAUCUUCAUAUCCACAUACUUGAAAGGAUUCUUGUUAUAGGUAACCAGGUGAAGUAUCUUCUGCAUCAUAGAUGUAGAAUAAAACGUAACACUUGCAUAUAUAUAUUUUCCUACUUAUAUUUUGUAAUUGUGCUACUGGAAUUUCCUUUCAAAAAUUAUAGAUUAUGAGAAAGUGAGUGACAGAGACUUAAUUUGAGUCAGGGCAUGAAAUUUUGAAGUCUGCUUUUGGUAGAAUCUUGAUAAGGCAGAGAGCAACUAUUGCAAAUUGAACUUUGGGUUUUGGGCCAAACCCAAAGGCAAGAUUGGGUUAGCCUGAUUGUCAUGGGGAAUUAGCUCAAUGUUCCUGUACUGUGGCAUCAAAAUUCUUCUCAUUUUCGACAUUACCGGUGCAGUUUUUGUUCUUACUCAACAAAUGAUUCAUCGAACUGGAAAAGGCAUGGAAGAGUUCAUACACAGGAACGUCCUUUUGCUUGCCAUUUGUGUUCGAAAACUUUUAACCAUAAAGUUAGUUUAGAAUACCACAUGUGUACUCAUACCAAAGAGAAACCUCACAAAUGUCAAAUAUGCUUUUGUGAAUUCACUAGAAAGUAUA